RNAcentral lists this ribosomal RNA (493 nucleotides) under uncultured bacterium. Its description in RNAcentral is "partial 16S ribosomal RNA". It matches the Rfam family "Bacterial small subunit ribosomal RNA", at positions 28 to 506 of the family's 1533-position model. The record is from RNAcentral.
GACGAACGCUGGCGGCGUGCUUAACACAUGCAAGUCGAACGGUGAAGCGCCUUCCUUUUUGGUGGGUGUGGAUGAGUGGCGAACGGGUGAGUAACGCGUGAGUAACCUGCCCCCUUCUUCUGGAUAACCGCAUGAAAGUGUGGCUAAUACGGGAUAUUCUGGGUCUGUCGCAUGAUGGGUCUGGGAAAGAUAUUGUUUCGGUGGGGGAUGGGCUCGCGGCCUAUCAGCUUGUUGGUGGGGUGAUGGCCUACCAAGGCGGUGACGGGUAGCCGGCCUGAGAGGGUGGACGGUCACACUGGGACUGAGACACGGCCCAGACUCCUACGGGAGGCAGCAGUGGGGAAUAUUGCACAAUGGGCGCAAGCCUGAUGCAGCGACGCCGCGUGAGGGAUGGAGGCCUUCGGGUUGUGAACCUCUUUCGCCAGUGAAGCAGGCCUGCCUCGUUUGUGGGUGGGUUGACGGUAGCUGGAUAAGAAGCGCCGGCUAACUACGU